UGAGGAAUAUUGGUCAAUGGGCGCAAGCCUGAACCAGCCAUCCCGCGUGAAGGAAGAAGGCGCUAUGCGUUGUAAACUUCUUUUUCAGGGGAAGGAAAUUUUCUACGUGUAGAGAAUUGACGGUACCCUGUGAAUAAGCAUCGGCUAACUCCGUG
This 155-nucleotide ribosomal RNA is filed under the name uncultured bacterium. RNAcentral's name for it is "partial 16S ribosomal RNA". It matches the Rfam family "Bacterial small subunit ribosomal RNA", at positions 355 to 507 of the family's 1533-position model. The record is from RNAcentral.